GCAAGCCAGAAAGACACGAGUUUGCUUUUCUAAAUGGUCCCCAUUAUUCCAAGGGUAGGCAGUCUAAUUCCUUUCUUAGAUGUCCACCAUCCAAUGGACGCAUGCACCAAAGUUUUUUCCAGACCAAAAGAGAGGAGAAAAUUGCUCCAAGACCAUUCAAAUUGAAUACCAAUGGGAGAGGUUCAUAGAGGAUUUUUUUCUUGAGGCUGCUUGCCCAUGUUAUGGGAUUUGGGUUUGUUGUAGCUUCUGAAGGUGGUAUUCAUCUCUGUUUCUGUGCCUGCAAGGUAUCAGUUAUCAGGUUGGUAACCGUUGCUUUCCGUUCUGAGUGUCAGAAGUCACAAGCAAAACCCACUUCAGCGUCAGCGAUUCUCUUUCCGUUCCGAAUCGACCCCAAGAUUGGCUUCCUUCUGUUUUGUUGAGGAAUCUAUGAAAUUUUUUUCACCUCUGAGAGGACUGUUACAGUGACCAUUUCUGAUGCUUAUGCUGCAAGUGGGGUUUGUAGUCCUCUGGUCUUCCGUUUUCAUUGAGUUAGGCGAGCAGUGGGUUAGCCACCUUCUUGUCACCAAAAAAAAAUAAUAAUAAAGAAAAGAAAAGAAAUCUACCAACUUCCUUUGGGCCCAAAAGAAGAUUUUUUUUGAUGUGAGGGCCCAAAAGAAGAUUGAGGAGCAGAAGCCUCUAUCAGACAUGGGCAGAGGUGUGGAUAAGUAUGAUUAUUUCGCAUUCUUGGGACAGGCCAAUGUGAACCCACUUGUUACUGAAUUGUCACUUUCGUGGCAAGAAGCAGCAGCAUCUGGUCUCAUUGUUUUCUCUAUCUACGUAUCAUUCGCACUGUGCUUUAGACCAGUGAGUUCAGGUGAGGUUGAGCUUUUCCGCAUCCUGCUUCUCGAGAGCAUGGAGCAACAAUCAAGAAAUGCAAAUCCAUCCCAAAUUGUCUCAUUCGGGAUAUUCCGAGCUAUGCCGGCAGCGGACUAGAGGAUGAUUCUAGCAUUGUGAACAAAAAAUUGGUAAAGGAUGGUUGUCGACUUCAUUUAAAAAUCAUAAAGUAAAAAGAUAUAAUUUUGAUAGAUCCUUAUUUCAAUCAUUUGAAGGGUGGAGCUCCUCCUUUUACCCUCCGCAUCCUCGAGCAUCCUUCACGAUCC
Elaeis guineensis (African oil palm) is the source of this 1139-nucleotide non-coding RNA. The record is from RefSeq and is a predicted model, not a curated record. Lineage: Eukaryota; Viridiplantae; Streptophyta; Magnoliopsida; Arecales; Arecaceae.